CCCUUAGAUGUUCUGGGCGGCCCGCGCACUACAAUGGCGUGUGCAGCGAGUGCCGAAGUAGAGUUUUCCGAGGUAUUCUUGCAAUGCUCGUUUUGAUGGGGAUAGACCCUUGCAACUGUUGGUUUUGAACGAGGAAUUCCUUGUAAGCAUGGUUUAUCAUCCGACGCUGGAUGCGUCCCUGCCCUUUGUACACACCGCCCGUCGCUCCUACCGAUGAGUCGUCCGGUGAAGUUCGUAGACCUCGUGAUCGCGGAUCACUGGGGGAAGCAAAAUGAACCUCGCGGUUUAGAGGAAGGAGAAGUCGUAACA
This 309-nucleotide ribosomal RNA is filed under the name uncultured eukaryote. RNAcentral's name for it is "partial 18S ribosomal RNA". It matches the Rfam family "Eukaryotic small subunit ribosomal RNA", at positions 1470 to 1796 of the family's 1831-position model. The record is from RNAcentral.